UCAUAUUUGUUCAUUCAAAGAGCGAAUUCAGAUCGCUGGAGAAAGGGGCACAACGUAAAGGAUGCUGAAAGGAUGGUCCAGAUCUCUUCUUGGACACAGCAUUGCAAAGCUUGCCUAUUCCUGAAACAAACGCCAUAUUUUUCAACUGAACCAAUAACUGCAUGAAAUCAAUGUAUGUAAAAUCAUUAGCAUGCAAGAAACAAUGGAUGUAUAUUGUUACGAAUCUGUGAUGCGGCUUCCCAGCAUAGUUGGUUCCAUAAGAGGUCCCAGAGCUUGGCGACAAAUUUGGCGACUUUGGCGCCAAAAUAGAUUAUACCCGAAACAUCGAGAAUGUUCCCGAUCCGUCCAGUAGGAACCGAGUUAUGCCUCGAACGUUCCUGAUUGGUUGAGAGGCUUCUAGCCCCGCCUCCUGAGACCUAUAAAAGGAGCAACCUGCAGCUGCCGAGUAGUCGUGGACCAGUGGAGUCGAAGAGUAGUCGACAUCGACGGUAAAGAACUGGCCUUCCAGAGAUAAGCGGAGCAGCGACGGAGUGAAGCUCGUGCUGAACUAAG
Long non-coding RNA from Argiope bruennichi, 552 nucleotides. RefSeq lists it as uncharacterized. The record is from RefSeq and is a predicted model, not a curated record. The transcript has 3 exons. NCBI's taxonomy places the organism in Eukaryota, Metazoa, Arthropoda, Arachnida, Araneae, Araneidae.